Molecule: ribosomal RNA, 1343 nt
Filed under: uncultured bacterium
Lineage: Bacteria
Description: 16S ribosomal RNA
Rfam family: Bacterial small subunit ribosomal RNA
Source: RNAcentral
GACGAACGCUGGCGGCGUGCUUAACACAUGCAAGUCGAACGGAAAGGCCCUGCUUUUGUGGGGUGCUCGAGUGACGAACGGGUGAGUAACACGUGAGUAACCUGCCCUUGACUUUGGGAUAACUUCAGGAAACUGGGGCUAAUACCGGAUAGGAGCUCCUGCUGCAUGGUGGGGGUUGGAAAGUUUCGGCGGUUGGGGAUGGACUCGCGGCUUAUCAGCUUGUUGGUGGGGUAGUGGCUUACCAAGGCUUUGACGGGUAGCCGGCCUGAGAGGGUGACCGGCCACAUUGGGACUGAGAUACGGCCCAGACUCCUACGGGAGGCAGCAGUGGGGAAUAUUGCACAAUGGGCGGAAGCCUGAUGCAGCAACGCCGCGUGCGGGAUGACGGCCUUCGGGUUGUAAACCGCUUUCGCCUGUGACGAAGCGUGAGUGACGGUAAUGGGUAAAGAAGCACCGGCUAACUACGUGCCAGCAGCCGCGGUGAUACGUAGGGUGCGAGCGUUGUCCGAAUUUAUUGGGCGUAAAGGGCUCGUAGGUGGUUGAUCGCGUCGGAAGUGUAAUCUUGGGGCUUAACCCUGAGCGUGCUUUCGAUACGGGUUGACUUGAGGAAGGUAGGGGAGAAUGGAAUUCCUGGUGGAGCGGUGGAAUGCGCAGAUAUCAGGAGGAACACCAGUGGCGAAGGCGGUUCUCUGGGCCUUUCCUGACGCUGAGGAGCGAAAGCGUGGGGAGCGAACAGGCUUAGAUACCCUGGUUGUCCACGCUGUAAACGGUGGGUACUAGGUGUGGGGUCCAUUCCACGGGUUCCGUGCCGUAGCUAACGCUUUAAGUACCCCGCCUGGGGAGUACGGCCGCAAGGCUAAAACUCAAAGGAAUUGACGGGGCCCCGCACAAGCGGCGGAGCAUGCGGAUUAAUUCGAUGCAACGCGUAGAACCUUACCUGGGUUUGACAUGGAUCGGGAGUGCUCAGAGAUGGGUGUGCCUCUUUUGGGGUCGGUUCACAGGUGGUGCAUGGCUGUCGUCAGCUCGUGUCGUGAGAUGUUGGGUUAAGUCCCGCAACGAGCGCAACCCUUGUUCACUGUUGCCAGCACGUUAUGGUGGGGACUCAGUGGAGACCGCCGGGGUCAACUCGGAGGAAGGUGGGGAUGACGUCAAGUCAUCAUGCCCCUUAUGUCCAGGGCUUCACGCAUGCUACAAUGGCUGGUACAGAGAGUGGCGAGCCUGUGAGGGUGAGCGAAUCUCGGAAAGCCGGUCUCAGUUCGGAUUGGGGUCUGCAACUCGACCUCAUGAAGUCGGAGUCGCUAGUAAUCGCAGAUCAGCAACGCUGCGGUGAAUACGUUCCCGGG